Phasianus colchicus (ring-necked pheasant) is the source of this 2747-nucleotide long non-coding RNA. RefSeq lists it as uncharacterized. NCBI's taxonomy places the organism in Eukaryota, Metazoa, Chordata, Aves, Galliformes, Phasianidae. The record is from RefSeq and is a predicted model, not a curated record.
CGCUCCACUCCACGCCGGGCGACCGGCCCCGCAGAGCCCUGCCCCGGGGAGGGCAGAGCAGCGAUCCCACCCCGCGGAAGGCGGGAGAGAUUGUGUGUGUUACAUUUUGUCAGACAGUAACUUCCUUAUGGCCACUGCAAAAGAAACCUGGACUUCUGCAUAAUGCUUUGAAGGUGGCACAGCACAGUUGUAGUACUCUUGGUCACAGCAGGAAAACUGCAGAAGAUGCUGCCCGAUUUCUGUACAUCUCUGAUAAUUUGCAGAGAGAUUGCUAGGAGGUUUAACUGGAGUGUAAAUAUUGUCUCCCUCCCAAAUUGGAUUUUUACUGACAAUCAGAAGACGUAAGUGAUGGGAACAGACUGCAGAGUUUAGAGAAAUGAAAUCUCCUAUAGAAACACAGAAUGCAGACCAACAAACAUUUCAUGUGAAAUGUGAACACUACUUCGAUAACAAUGUUUGAAUAUGGAAAAGUAGUUCAGUGUUGAAAUGGGUGACCUACAGAAGAAGAGCUUUCAACACUCACACUGAGCUGCAAAAUGAGCUUUAUCAGAAACAGAAUUUAAAAGAUAUUCAAUAAACUGUGAAGAUUUUGUUAAACUUUAAAAAGUAAAAAACCGAAAACAACAACAACAACAAAACUAGGUCAGUUUCUUUCAGAAAAAUAUUGACAUUCAAUGUCUUUACUUGAAAAACAGAAGAGUAACAGAUUAUUCACGUGGGCUAAAUCUGGAUUUCCCUACUCCUCUGGGCAAUCCUUGCCCAAGUGGAACCUGAGACAGCCCAGUGGCCAGCUUUGCCUCGAGGGGUUUAUCUGUGUACCAGGGAAGCAGGAUUUAGCAACUUGCACUGACAUCUUUGGCAGUUUAGUGGUUGGAAACAGGAGAAAGCAAGGGGAAACAGAGGUAAUAAGGAGAAAACAAGGAAAAUUUGUCUAUGUACAUUUUCAUUUUGCGCUACACAAGAGUACUGAUGAAUAAAGAUAUAAUCUGUAAUUAAUCUGUUCCAGGUUAAUGACAGCCAUCAUUCCCUUCACACUGCAAUCAUUUUGUAUUUCUUACGUGCUCAUCAGAGCACCUUCUUCCCAAAGGCAUCAGAUACUGUUUAUUUCUCUUCGCACAGAAAUAUAUACCAUAGGUUCUAAUCCACUAAUAGACAGUAUUAACUGGUUUGUUUAAACAAAACAAUCAUUGUAAACCAAAACUAAUAGUUUCACUGAAACUAGAUUCUCAUCUGUAGCCACUGACUCCAAUAGGCUUUGGAUCAGGCCCUAAAACAGGCAUGAUAGCAUCAGUCUCACAUCCAGUGGUUGUAGAUGAUACAGAGACUGAAGUUGCACAGACUUUGUAAAUAUUCAUUACAAAAUGGACAACAAGUUUUUAGAUCAAAUGCAUAAUUUACCACAGGGAAUGUACCUUACCAUCUGUGACUGUGCCAGUGUAUCUUUGUUUUCUAAGUCUUCUCUUCUAAGUACAUGUAUUUUGACCAUCUAUUCCAGAGCAUAAAAAGAAAGUGAUAUUGAAAAGUAAACUACACUAUUGUUAGUCUAAAAUAGCCCAGAACUAUAGCUUUUUAAUCCAUUGGGUUAGCUGACGUUGUUGAGGCUUCUUUUCUUAAUGUCAAGACACCAGCAUUACAAUUUAAGAAGUUAUGGUGAGUCAUUAAUACUAAGUUAAAAGUGAGAUUUAAAAAUCCUCAGUAGUGGCAUGAAAAUUAAUAGCAGGUGGAAUUCACUGAUCUAUUUAUUGCUUAGUUUGAAAAAAAAAAUGCCCCAAAGAGUUGAAUGUAUAUUAUUUCACACAUCAGUACAUGGUUUGGCUGGUGGGCAUUGAAACCUCUCAGUUUAGGGUUUCUCAACAAAAAAACUACUAUCUUUGUGAUACUAAGCCUUUGUGCAUCAGCUUUCCAUGCAUGUAAAGAGCUCAUGCAGGAGUUCAUGUAAUGGUCUGGCAUGAGAAGUUUAUUCUGAAUACCUAAACAGGAUGUGAAUGGUCAAAAUCCUCUGAUCUAAAAUUUCUCUAUUGCGGUCUCUAAUUUGUAAAUAUUUCUCUUUUGCUCUUGAUCCUCUCUACUGAAAUUUAAAGGAAAGAGGGGAAUAGUCUUUCAUACCUGGACAGAAAGCAAUUAUGUGAGUGAACUAGGGCUUGAUUUAGCUUUCCCUGAGAUAAUCUUAGGGGUUUGAUUCUUAAACCACAUCAAACAGCAACCAAUUCAAGGUCAAGGAAAGAGGGAAGUGGGAGAAGAAGGAAGAGCUGGAGAGAAGUAUUUCCAUAUACCUUAGGUACAUGGAAGUUAUGCCAUAACACACAUCACUCGUUUCCGAUGAAAACCUGUUAAGUUACAGAGUCAAUAUGAGAAACCAUUGACCUCCUUAGUUUAAGCAGCAUUUAUGAAAAAUUUACCUUGUUAAAUGUAAGCCAGCCCACCAAACAGACUGGUAUAAAUACAUUCCUAAACACAAACAUAUAAGAUUCAGUGGAUGAACAAAGUCAUAUACAGCUCAGUAUUAAUGAGCUAAUUACAAAUAUUAGGUGAUACCAUUUUUCUGAAAUGAAGGUGGUUUAAUAUAAAGUUUUUAAAAAAUAUGUUUCUAUUAACUUUUGCUACUAUUAUUAUCUAUAGUUCUCUCACCACAAGAUAUAUUUUAUCUAACAGAAUGAUUAUACUACUGCAGUGUGCAAAUAAAGAGCACAUAAUCAACGGAGAAGAGUCAAAAAUUAGUGUUUUUAGAUUUUCUGACAGUAAAACUA